Molecule: small nucleolar RNA, 116 nt
Filed under: Carlito syrichta (Philippine tarsier)
Lineage: Eukaryota; Metazoa; Chordata; Mammalia; Primates; Tarsiidae
Description: Small nucleolar RNA SNORA31 (ENSTSYG00000034039.1)
Source: RNAcentral
UUUGACAGACCCAGAACAGUUACUGUCUGGUUUAAGGCUUUCACCACAGAAGAAAAAAGUGCCCUCACAAAUUUUGCCUGAUUAUGACAGUUAAGAUUGAAUGGGGUAAUACAUGA